This 540-nucleotide ribosomal RNA is filed under the name uncultured archaeon. RNAcentral's name for it is "bacterial SSU rRNA". It matches the Rfam family "Archaeal small subunit ribosomal RNA", at positions 326 to 866 of the family's 1478-position model. The record is from RNAcentral.
CGGGGUGCACCAGGCGCGAAAACUUUACAAUGCCGGCAACGGCGAUAAGGGGACCUCGAGUGCCAGGUUACAAAUCUGGCUGUCGUGAUGCCUAAAAAGCAUUGCAUAGCAAGGGCCGGGCAAGACCGGUGCCAGCCGUUGCGGUAACACCGGCGGCUCGAGUGGUAACCGUUAUCAUUGGGUCUAAAGGGUCUGUAGCCGGCCGGAUAAGUCUCUUGGGAAAUCUGGCAGCUUAACUGUCAGGCUUUCAGGAGAUACUGUCUGGCUCGAGGCCGGGAGAGGUGAGAGGUACUUCAGGGGUAGGGGUGAAAUCUUGUAAUCCUUGAAGGACCACCAGUGGCGAAGGCGUCUCACCAGAACGGACCUGACGGCAAGGGACGAAAGCUAGGGGCACGAACCGGAUUAGAUACCCGGGUAGUCCUAGCCGUAAACGAUACUCGCUAGGUGUCGGCCACGGUGCGACCGUGGUCGGUGCCGUAGGGAAGCCGUGAAGCGAGCCACCUGGGAAGUACGGCCGCAAGGCUGAAACUUAAAGGAAUG